UCCGUUUGAUCCUGGCAGAGGCCACUGCUAUCGGAGUUCGAUUAAGCCAUGCGAGUCGAGAGGUGUAAGACCUCGGCAUACUGCUCAGUAACACGUGGACAACCUACCCUGAAGAGGGGGAUAACCCCGGGAAACUGGGGAUAAUACCCCAUAGGCUAUGGAUGCUGGAAUGCUCUGUAGUUGAAAGGUCCGCCGCUUCAGGAUGGGUCUGCGGCCGAUUAGGUUGUUGUUGGGGUAACGGCCCAACAAGCCUGUAAUCGGUACGGGUUGUGGGAGCAAGAGCCCGGAGAUGGAUUCUGAGACACGAAUCCAGGCCCUACGGGGCGCAGCAGGCGCGAAAACUUUACAAUGCGAGCAAUCGUGAUAAGGGAACUCCGAGUGCCCGUAAAAUCGGGCUGUCCGCCAGUGUAAAUAACUGGUGAAGAAAGGGCCGGGCAAGACCGGUGCCAGCCGCCGCGGUAAUACCGGCGGCUCGAGUGGUGGCCACUAUUACUGGGCUUAAAGCGUUCGUAGCUGGUCUGUUAAGUCUCUGGGGAAAUCUUCCGGCUUAACCGGAAGGCGUCUCAGGGAUACUGGCAGACUAGGGACCGGAAGAGGUGAGAGGUACUCCAGGGGUAGGAGUGAAAUCCUGUAAUCCUUGGGGGACCACCUGUGGCGAAGGCGUCUCACCAGGACGGCUCCGACAGUGAGGAACGAAAGCUGGGGGAGCAAACCGGAUUAGAUACCCGGGUAGUCCCAGCUGUAAACGAUGCGCGUUAGGUGUAUCGGUGACCACGAGUCACCGAGGUGCCGAAGAGAAAUCGUGAAACGCGCCGCCUGGGAAGUACGGUCGCAAGGCUGAAACUUAAAGGAAUUGGCGGGGGAGCACCACAACGGGUGGAGCCUGCGGUUUAAUCGGACUCAACGCCGGGAAACUCACCGGACAAGACAGCUGAAUGAUAGUCGGGCUGAAGACUCUACUUGACUAGCUGAGAGGAGGUGCAUGGCCGUCGUCAGUUCGUACUGUGAAGCAUCCUGUUAAGUCAGGCAACGAGCGAGACCCA
RNAcentral lists this ribosomal RNA (1043 nucleotides) under uncultured archaeon. RNAcentral's name for it is "bacterial SSU rRNA". It matches the Rfam family "Archaeal small subunit ribosomal RNA", at positions 1 to 1054 of the family's 1478-position model. The record is from RNAcentral.